AUUGAACGCUGGCGGCAGGCCUAACACAUGCAAGUCGAGCGGAUGAAGGGAGCUUGCUCCUGGAUUCAGCGGCGGACGGGUGAGUAAUGCCUAGGAAUCUGCCUUGUAGUGGGGGAUAACGUCCUGAAACGGGCGCUAAUACCGCAUACGUCCUGAUGUAGAAAGUGGGGGAUCUUCGGACCUCACGCUAUCAUAUGAGCCUAGGUCGGAUUAGCUAGUUGGUGGGGUAAAGGCCUACCAAGGCGACGAUCCGUAACUGGUCUGAGAGGAUGAUCAGUCACACUGGAACUGAGACACGGUCCAGACUCCUACGGGAGGCAGCAGUGGGGAAUAUUGGACAAUGGGCGAAAGCCUGAUCCAGCCAUGCCGCGUGUGUGAAGAAGGUCUUCGGAUUGUAAAGCACUUUAAGUUGGGAGGAAGGGCAGUAAGUUAAUACCUUGCUGUUUUGACGUUACCAACAGAAUAAGCACCGGCUAACUUCGUG
Molecule: ribosomal RNA, 484 nt
Filed under: uncultured bacterium
Lineage: Bacteria
Description: partial 16S ribosomal RNA
Rfam family: Bacterial small subunit ribosomal RNA
Source: RNAcentral